RNAcentral lists this ribosomal RNA (786 nucleotides) under uncultured bacterium. RNAcentral describes it as "bacterial SSU rRNA". It matches the Rfam family "Bacterial small subunit ribosomal RNA", at positions 8 to 796 of the family's 1533-position model. The record is from RNAcentral.
AGAGUUUGAUCAUGGCUCAGAACGAACGCUGGCGGCGUGCCUAACACAUGCAAGUCGAACGCGAACGGAAUCUUCGGAUUCCAAGUAGAGUGGCGCACGGGUGAGUAACACGUGGAUAACCUGCCCCAAGAUCUGGGAUAACAUUUCGAAAGAAGUGCUAAUACCGGAUAAGCCCACGCUUUCUUCGGAGAAAGUGGGAAAAGAUUUAUCGUCUUGGGAUGGGUCCGCGGUCCAUUAGCUAGUUGGUGGGGUAAUGGCCUACCAAGGCUGCGAUGGAUAGCUGGUCUGAGAGGAUGAUCAGCCACACUGGAACUGAGACACGGUCCAGACUCCUACGGGAGGCAGCAGUGGGGAAUUUUGCGCAAUGGGGGAAACCCUGACGCAGCAACGCCGCGUGAAGGAUGAAGGCCUUUGGGUCGUAAACUUCUGUCAGAGGGGAAGAAAUGCCCGCAAGGGUGCUGACGGUACCCUCAAAGGAAGCACCGGCUAACUCCGUGCCAGCAGCCGCGGUAAUACGGAGGGUGCAAGCGUUGUUCGGAAUUAUUGGGCGUAAAGAGCAUGUAGGCGGCCUGUUAAGUCUGGUGUGAAAGCCCGGGGCUCAACCCCGGAAGUGCAUCGGAUACUGGCAGGCUUGAGUAUGGGAGAGGAAAGUGGAAUUCCGAGUGUAGGAGUGAAAUCCGUAGAUAUUCGGAGGAACACCAGUGGCGAAGGCGGCUUUCUGGACCAAUACUGACGCUGAGAUGCGAAAGCGUGNNNNNCAAACAGGAUUAGAUACCCUAGUAGUCC